This 2774-nucleotide ribosomal RNA is filed under the name Escherichia coli. RNAcentral describes it as "partial 23S ribosomal RNA". It matches the Rfam family "Bacterial large subunit ribosomal RNA". Lineage: Bacteria; Pseudomonadati; Pseudomonadota; Gammaproteobacteria; Enterobacterales; Enterobacteriaceae. The record is from RNAcentral.
GGUUAAGCGACUAAGCGUACACGGUGGAUGCCCUGGCAGUCAGAGGCGAUGAAGGACGUGCUAAUCUGCGAUAAGCGUCGGUAAGGUGAUAUGAACCGUUAUAACCGGCGAUUUCCGAAUGGGGAAACCCAGUGUGUUUCGACACACUAUCAUUAACUGAAUCCAUAGGUUAAUGAGGCGAACCGGGGGAACUGAAACAUCUAAGUACCCCGAGGAAAAGAAAUCAACCGAGAUUCCCCCAGUAGCGGCGAGCGAACGGGGAGCAGCCCAGAGCCUGAAUCAGUGUGUGUGUUAGUGGAAGCGUCUGGAAAGGCGCGCGAUACAGGGUGACAGCCCCGUACACAAAAAUGCACAUGCUGUGAGCUCGAUGAGUAGGGCGGGACACGUGGUAUCCUGUCUGAAUAUGGGGGGACCAUCCUCCAAGGCUAAAUACUCCUGACUGACCGAUAGUGAACCAGUACCGUGAGGGAAAGGCGAAAAGAACCCCGGCGAGGGGAGUGAAAAAGAACCUGAAACCGUGUACGUACAAGCAGUGGGAGCACGCUUAGGCGUGUGACUGCGUACCUUUUGUAUAAUGGGUCAGCGACUUAUAUUCUGUAGCAAGGUUAACCGAAUAGGGGAGCCGAAGGGAAACCGAGUCUUAACUGGGCGUUAAGUUGCAGGGUAUAGACCCGAAACCCGGUGAUCUAGCCAUGGGCAGGUUGAAGGUUGGGUAACACUAACUGGAGGACCGAACCGACUAAUGUUGAAAAAUUAGCGGAUGACUUGUGGCUGGGGGUGAAAGGCCAAUCAAACCGGGAGAUAGCUGGUUCUCCCCGAAAGCUAUUUAGGUAGCGCCUCGUGAAUUCAUCUCCGGGGGUAGAGCACUGUUUCGGCAAGGGGGUCAUCCCGACUUACCAACCCGAUGCAAACUGCGAAUACCGGAGAAUGUUAUCACGGGAGACACACGGCGGGUGCUAACGUCCGUCGUGAAGAGGGAAACAACCCAGACCGCCAGCUAAGGUCCCAAAGUCAUGGUUAAGUGGGAAACGAUGUGGGAAGGCCCAGACAGCCAGGAUGUUGGCUUAGAAGCAGCCAUCAUUUAAAGAAAGCGUAAUAGCUCACUGGUCGAGUCGGCCUGCGCGGAAGAUGUAACGGGGCUAAACCAUGCACCGAAGCUGCGGCAGCGACGCUGAUGCGUUGUUGGGUAGGGGAGCGUUCUGUAAGCCUGCGAAGGUGUGCUGUGAGGCAUGCUGGAGGUAUCAGAAGUGCGAAUGCUGACAUAAGUAACGAUAAAGCGGGUGAAAAGCCCGCUCGCCGGAAGACCAAGGGUUCCUGUCCAACGUUAAUCGGGGCAGGGUGAGUCGACCCCUAAGGCGAGGCCGAAAGGCGUAGUCGAUGGGAAACAGGUUAAUAUUCCUGUACUUGGUGUUACUGCGAAGGGGGGACGGAGAAGGCUAUGUUGGCCGGGCGACGGUUGUCCCGGUUUAAGCGUGUAGGCUGGUUUUCCAGGCAAAUCCGGAAAAUCAAGGCUGAGGCGUGAUGACGAGGCACUACGGUGCUGAAGCAACAAAUGCCCUGCUUCCAGGAAAAGCCUCUAAGCAUCAGGUAACAUCAAAUCGUACCCCAAACCGACACAGGUGGUCAGGUAGAGAAUACCAAGGCGCUUGAGAGAACUCGGGUGAAGGAACUAGGCAAAAUGGUGCCGUAACUUCGGGAGAAGGCACGCUGAUAUGUAGGUGAAGUCCCUUGCGGAUGGAGCUGAAAUCAGUCGAAGAUACCAGCUGGCUGCAACUGUUUAUUAAAAACACAGCACUGUGCAAACACGAAAGUGGACGUAUACGGUGUGACGCCUGCCCGGUGCCGGAAGGUUAAUUGAUGGGGUUAGCCGCAAGGCGAAGCUCUUGAUCGAAGCCCCGGUAAACGGCGGCCGUAACUAUAACGGUCCUAAGGUAGCGAAAUUCCUUGUCGGGUAAGUUCCGACCUGCACGAAUGGCGUAAUGAUGGCCAGGCUGUCUCCACCCGAGACUCAGUGAAAUUGAACUCGCUGUGAAGAUGCAGUGUACCCGCGGCAAGACGGAAAGACCCCGUGAACCUUUACUAUAGCUUGACACUGAACAUUGAGCCUUGAUGUGUAGGAUAGGUGGGAGGCUUUGAAGUGUGGACGCCAGUCUGCAUGGAGCCGACCUUGAAAUACCACCCUUUAAUGUUUGAUGUUCUAACGUUGACCCGUAAUCCGGGUUGCGGACAGUGUCUGGUGGGUAGUUUGACUGGGGCGGUCUCCUCCUAAAGAGUAACGGAGGAGCACGAAGGUUGGCUAAUCCUGGUCGGACAUCAGGAGGUUAGUGCAAUGGCAUAAGCCAGCUUGACUGCGAGCGUGACGGCGCGAGCAGGUGCGAAAGCAGGUCAUAGUGAUCCGGUGGUUCUGAAUGGAAGGGCCAUCGCUCAACGGAUAAAAGGUACUCCGGGGAUAACAGGCUGAUACCGCCCAAGAGUUCAUAUCGACGGCGGUGUUUGGCACCUCGAUGUCGGCUCAUCACAUCCUGGGGCUGAAGUAGGUCCCAAGGGUAUGGCUGUUCGCCAUUUAAAGUGGUACGCGAGCUGGGUUUAGAACGUCGUGAGACAGUUCGGUCCCUAUCUGCCGUGGGCGCUGGAGAACUGAGGGGGGCUGCUCCUAGUACGAGAGGACCGGAGUGGACGCAUCACUGGUGUUCGGGUUGUCAUGCCAAUGGCACUGCCCGGUAGCUAAAUGCGGAAGAGAUAAGUGCUGAAAGCAUCUAAGCACGAAACUUGCC